UGUCUAAAUGAUGCCUGAAAAGUACUUAUCCAAAAAAUAUAGAUUUUGGAUACAUUUUUAUCCUCGAAAGAAUGGGCCCUAAAGGUCUUAAUGGAUCAAUAAAAGCUCAAAUGAUCAUAAACAGUCAUAUUGGAUGGCUAUAAAGAUCAUCUUGAGAUCUAAUGUCUUGUCCCGAAUCUAGCAAUCGGAUCGAUAUGUGAUGGCCGUAUAUUCAGGAUAAAGUUCUAAAAAAUAUGCAAGGUCUAUUUUCAUAUUUAAAAAUAUUAUAUAAAAUUAUACUCAGAUAGUGAUAGUACAAGUAAAUUUGUAAUCUUAUUGAUUCAAAUAAGAUAUAGGUUACUAAUGUCUUAUCAUAGUUAAGAUCAAUAUUUAUUCAAAAGCAAACUAAACAAAUGUCUUUUAAAAUCCAAUGCUCCUCACUGCUUGAUCUUAAGCCUCAUAGAAUCUUAUAAAUCUAAAAUAAAAGAACAAUAAAGAGAGAGUGAGCUUUACGGACUUAGUAAAGAGAGAGAGUGAGCAAUCAAGUAUAAUUAAUUUUUAAAAUAUAAUAAUUUAAUAAUAAUAAGCAACAAUAUAAUUUUUUCUUCAAAGCAUGCCAUGCAUAUCAGUAAAAUCUAAAUAUCCUCUUUCAGUUUUUGGUGACUACGGCCACGAUCAACCCUAUGACAGGUCUGAAACAGAUCAGUCUUGAAAAAUAAACAUACAACACAUUGAUAUGUACCAGCAAUCGAAUCCGAUUGGCUAGGCCUAAAAGAAACUAGCUUUGAUUCAUACAGCCAUGAUUAGCCCUAUGACAAGGCAAAAAAAAUGGUUCUAAAUAUAAAUACAUGACACAUCAGUGUGUACAUGACACAUCAGUCCCAACUGACUAUGUCCAAAAGAACUAGCUCUGUCAGUGAUCAGUCCCGACUGACUAGGUUCGAAAGAACUAGCUUUGCCAGCGACCAGUCUCGAUUAGCUAGAUUUUGAAAAAAAUUAAUUUCUGACGUAUAGCUAACAAUCAGUUUCGUUGGCUAGAUCUGAAUCAUAGUCAACUAGAGAGUUUUUCUCGUAAUUUCACCUUAACCAAUUUCUCAUAAUUAAUCAAAUCAAGUUUUCCACAUCACAUUUCCAAAAAUAGGAGAACAACUUUAUUCAAAAUUAGUGCAAGGAUAAAUAUGUGUAAUCUUAUUUCCAAAUAUUAUGUAGUAUUAAAAUAAGUAAAUUAUCUUAUUUUAAAUUUUAUAAUCAUGCGAAGGUGACAUCAUGCUUGAUCCAUAAUUUUGAAUGACUUUUCAAAAAAUACAUAUUUCAAAACUUUAUAACUUCUACACAUUUUAAUAAUUUUUGUGUACUAAAUCUAAUUUUUAAAUAUAUUAAUAUGCACUAAAAAUUUGGAGAUAAUAGGAAACUUAUAGACAAUCGAAUCCAAAUGUGGCACGUGACUUGAUCCUUAGAUCCAGUGUGCUUCUAGCGACAAAGGCUUUAACUAAACAAAUUAACAAAGUCAUUAGCCUUUAAUUAAAGGAAAUUAAGUAAAAAGAGAAAGAUAAUCUCAAUCUGGCUCUAGUCUAGGUCAAGACUGGGUCGAUUUACAAGUUAGAUCUAUGCCAUUUAGUUUGACCUAAAUUCGGUUAGAUUGAGUCUAAUCAACAUGUUAGCUUCACAAAAAAGAUUGAUUCCCUCUUUCUCUUCCUCUCUCUCUCUUCCUCUUUCUUUCUUAUUUUUCUUUCCCUAUUUUUUUCUCUUUUUUUGUCUUUCUUAGUUGAACCUAAGAUCUCUUGGGGGCUUCCUAAGGGUCAAGAGGAGGGUGGGGGGCCAGCUAUGAAGUGGCCAAAGUGGCCAAUGGUGGUGGCAUGAUGAUGACUUGAGAUGGUGAUCCGGUCGGUGCGAUUGGAGAUCUGAAAGAAAAGAUGAAAAGGGUUACUUUCUCCAAUGCCAAGGCGAUGGUACUAAGGGAUGGAAAGAAAAGAGAGGGAAAGAGGGUUACCAGAGAUGGUGGUGGCAGUGUUGCUCGGCCAGUAGGAUGGAAUUCAGUAGAUUUUAUACCCAAAGACUCCUCGGAAUAGAGCAAUUGUUGCCCAGCUAUGCAACCCAAGAGGGGGAGAGGUGAAUUGGAUUUUUAAAAAAUUUAAAAUUAACUUACAACUAUGAGGAUUAUUUAGCAAUGAGCAAGAUAAAUGUGGAGAGUGAAAUUUAUGCAAGGUGUAGAAGUUAGAUGCAAGAAUACAAGAACAUAAAAAAAUUUAAAAGGAGAGCAAGUAAGCACAACACAAACAAAAAGAUUUAUAGUGGUUCGGUGCCAAUCUUGCACCUAUAUCCACUCCCCAAGCUUCUACUUGAGAAUUCAUAUCCACUAAACCAUAUUCAACCCGAAUAUAAUGUC
Molecule: long non-coding RNA, 2365 nt
Filed under: Elaeis guineensis (African oil palm)
Lineage: Eukaryota; Viridiplantae; Streptophyta; Magnoliopsida; Arecales; Arecaceae
Description: long non-coding RNA (EGUI_LNC007133)
Source: RNAcentral